GGAGGUAUGGUGUAAAGGAUAGCACACAAAUCUUCUAAAUUUGUUGUCUAGGUUCAAGUCCUAGUAUCUCCG
This 72-nucleotide transfer RNA is filed under the name Vibrio phage helene 12B3. It matches the Rfam family "tRNA". From Rfam's summary of the family: Transfer RNA (tRNA) molecules are approximately 80 nucleotides in length. Their secondary structure includes four short double-helical elements and three loops (D, anti-codon, and T loops). Lineage: Duplodnaviria; Heunggongvirae; Uroviricota; Caudoviricetes. The record is from Rfam by way of RNAcentral.